Molecule: ribosomal RNA, 447 nt
Filed under: uncultured bacterium
Lineage: Bacteria
Description: bacterial SSU rRNA
Rfam family: Bacterial small subunit ribosomal RNA
Source: RNAcentral
CCAGACUCCUACGGGAGGCAGCAGUGGGGGAUAUUGGACAAUGGGGGAAACCCUGAUCCAGCGACGCCGCGUGAGUGAAGAAGUAUUUCGGUAUGUAAAGCUCUGUCAGCAGGGAAGAAAGAAAUGACGGUACCUGACCAAGAAGCCCCGGCUAACUACGUGCCAGCAGCCGCGGUAAUACGUAGGGGGCAAGCGUUAUCCGGAAUUACUGGGUGUAAAGGGAGCGUAGACGGUGAUGCAAGUCUGGAGUGAAAGGCGGGGGCCCAACCCCCGGACUGCUCUGGAAACUGUACGGCUGGAGUGCAGGAGAGGUAAGUGGAAUUCCUAGUGUAGCGGUGAAAUGCGUAGAUAUUAGGAGGAACACCAGUGGCGAAGGCGGCUUACUGGACUGUAACUGACGUUGAGGCUCGAAAGCGUGGGGAGCAAACUGGAUUAGAUACCCCGGUA